GUCCAUUAUGGACCGUCCAA
Molecule: small nuclear RNA, 20 nt
Filed under: Arabidopsis thaliana (thale cress)
Lineage: Eukaryota; Viridiplantae; Streptophyta; Magnoliopsida; Brassicales; Brassicaceae
Description: snRNA_16420
Source: RNAcentral